GCCGGAGUGGUGGAACAUGGUAGACACGCUAUCUUGAGGGGGUAGUGGGGAAACCCGUCCCGGUUCAAGUCCGGGCUUCGGCACCA
RNAcentral lists this transfer RNA (86 nucleotides) under Syntrophales bacterium. RNAcentral's name for it is "tRNA-Leu". The record is from RNAcentral. Lineage: Bacteria; Pseudomonadati; Thermodesulfobacteriota; Syntrophia; Syntrophales.